GGAGAUUUAGCUAAGCGGCAUAAGCGCCUGCCUCACAAGCAGGCAGUCGUGAGUUCAAAUCCCCGGUACCCA
Molecule: transfer RNA, 72 nt
Organism: Cavia porcellus (domestic guinea pig)
Lineage: Eukaryota; Metazoa; Chordata; Mammalia; Rodentia; Caviidae
Rfam family: tRNA
About the family: Transfer RNA (tRNA) molecules are approximately 80 nucleotides in length. Their secondary structure includes four short double-helical elements and three loops (D, anti-codon, and T loops).
Source: Rfam